AUGGAAGACCAAUAUGUGAAUCCAAAGAAGCCACGGCAAAAAACAGGUAUCACUCGUAGGCAUCAUUAUGAAGUGGAUUAUUUUAAUGAUGUUAUUGAUUGGCUGCUUCAAGAACUUGAUAAUCGCUUCAAUGAGAAAAAUUCUGAACUACUUGUUUGCUCAGCGGCUUUGAGACCAAAUGAAUCAUUUCAUGAUUUCAACUUAGAGAAUUUGAUGAGUCUAUCUAAACUUUAUCCAAGAGAUUUUGAUGAUGGAGAACCGAGGGACCUUAGACAUCACCUUCAUCUUUACAUUGCUGAUCUCCGAGCAGAUGAUCGCUUCUCUGGUUUAAGUAAUAUUUGUGAGCUCCCUCAAAAAAUGGUGGAGAUAAAAAAGCAUAUUGUCUAUCCCUUGGUUUAUCGACUUUUGAAGCUAGCACUAGUAUUGCCUGUUGCCACUCCUACAGUUGAGAGAUCUUUUUCGACUAUGAGAAUUGUGAAGACGUAUUUGCGCAAUCGUCUUGGUGAUGACUCCUUGAAGUACAACCUUAUUUGUUACGUGGAGAAAAGCAAAAUGAGAAAGGUUACUAAUGAUGCGGUAAUUGAUCGCUUUGAAGCCAUGAAAGAAUGUAGGAAACCAUUUUAG
RNAcentral lists this ribosomal RNA (624 nucleotides) under Triticum aestivum (bread wheat). RNAcentral's name for it is "partial small subunit ribosomal RNA". The record is from RNAcentral. Lineage: Eukaryota; Viridiplantae; Streptophyta; Magnoliopsida; Poales; Poaceae.